This is a long non-coding RNA of Frieseomelitta varia, 143 nucleotides long. RefSeq lists it as uncharacterized. The record is from RefSeq and is a predicted model, not a curated record. The transcript is spliced from 3 exons. NCBI's taxonomy places the organism in Eukaryota, Metazoa, Arthropoda, Insecta, Hymenoptera, Apidae.
GAUUCCUCGAACGCUGUGAACUUCGCGUUUCCAGAGGCUUAUGAACAUUCUAUCAAGAACCGCCGAUAUCACCGCCCCCGAAAAUGCUGAAUUUUCUAAUAAUUUUCAUUUGUCUGACGGAUAGGAACAGCACACGCUGAACU